AAUUGUAGAACUCCGAAGUUUAGUUUUUCUAAGGAUCUGUUAACAGGUCUAUGGAUCUAAACCGGUAGGGUAUAACUGGAAACGGUUAUGUCUCCCAGUGUGGAAAAGGGGCUUUGACAAGGUUAU
Molecule: non-coding RNA, 126 nt
Filed under: Acetobacterium bakii
Lineage: Bacteria; Bacillati; Bacillota; Clostridia; Eubacteriales; Eubacteriaceae
Description: MoCo sequence
Rfam family: Molybdenum/Tungsten riboswitch aptamer (Moco RNA motif)
Source: Rfam by way of RNAcentral